ACGCUGGCGGCGUGCCUAAUACAUGCAAGUAGAACGCUGAAAGAGGAGCUUGCUUCUCUGGAUGAGUUGCGAACGGGUGAGUAACGCGUAGGUAACCUGCCUGGUAGCGGGGGAUAACUAUUGGAAACGAUAGCUAAUACCGCAUAAGAGUAGAUGUUGCAUGACAUUUGCUUAAAAGGUGCAAUUGCAUCACUACCAGAUGGACCUGCGUUGUAUUAGCUAGUUGGUGGGGUAACGGCUCACCAAGGCGACGAUACAUAGCCGACCUGAGAGGGUGAUCGGCCACACUGGGACUGAGGCACGGCCCAGACUCCUACGGGAGGCAGCAGUAGGGAAUCUUCGGCAAUGGACGGAAGUCUGACCGAGCAACGCCGCGUGAGUGAAGAAGGUUUUCGGAUCGUAAAGCUCUGUUGUAAGAGAAGAACGAGUGUGAGAGUGGAAAGUUCACACUGUGACGGUAUCUUACCAGAAAGGGACGGCUAACUACGUGCCAGCAGCCGCGGUAAUACGUAGGUCCCGAGCGUUGUCCGGAUUUAUUGGGCGUAAAGCGAGCGCAGGCGGUUAGAUAAGUCUGAAGUUAAAGGCUGUGGCUUAACCAUAGUACGCUUUGGAAACUGUUUAACUUGAGUGCAAGAGGGGAGAGUGGAAUUCCAUGUGUAGCGGUGAAAUGCGUAGAUAUAUGGAGGAACACCGGUGGCGAAAGCGGCUCUCUGGCUUGUAACUGACGCUGAGGCUCGAAAGCGUGGGGAGCAAACAGGAUUAGAUACCCUGGUAGUCCACGCCGUAAACGAUGAGUGCUAGGUGUUAGACCCUUUCCGGGGUUUAGUGCCGCAGCUAACGCAUUAAGCACUCCCGCCUGGGGAGUACGACCGCAAGGUUGAAACUCAAAGGAAUGACGGGGGCCCGCACA
Molecule: ribosomal RNA, 910 nt
Filed under: uncultured bacterium
Lineage: Bacteria
Description: bacterial SSU rRNA
Rfam family: Bacterial small subunit ribosomal RNA
Source: RNAcentral